Molecule: ribosomal RNA, 867 nt
Filed under: uncultured Alphaproteobacteria bacterium
Lineage: Bacteria; Pseudomonadati; Pseudomonadota; Alphaproteobacteria
Description: bacterial SSU rRNA
Rfam family: Bacterial small subunit ribosomal RNA
Source: RNAcentral
AGAGUUUGAUCAUGGCUCAGGACGAACGCUGGCGGCAGGCUUAACACAUGCAAGUCGAACGCUCUCUUCGGAGAGAGUGGCAGACGGGUGAGUAACGCGUGGGAAUCUACCCAGUACUACGGAACAACAGUUAGAAAUGACUGCUAAUACCGUAUACGCCCUCCGGGGGAAAGAUUUAUCGGUAUUGGAUGAGCCCGCGUUUGAUUAGCUAGUUGGUGAGGUAACGGCUCACCAAGGCGACGAUCAAUAGCUGGUCUGAGAGGACGAUCAGCCACACUGGGACUGAGACACGGCCCAGACUCCUACGGGAGGCAGCAGUGGGGAAUAUUGGACAAUGGGCGCAAGCCUGAUCCAGCCAUGCCGCGUGUGUGAUGAAGGCCCUAGGGUUGUAAAGCACUUUCAACGGUGAAGAUAAUGACGGUAACCGUAGAAGAAGCUCCGGCUAACUUCGUGCCAGCAGCCGCGGUAAUACGAAGGGAGCCAGCGUUGUUCGGAAUUACUGGGCGUAAAGCGCGCGUAGGCGGGCUAUUAAGUUAGAGGUGAAAUCCCGGGGCUCAACCCCGGAACUGCCUUUGAUACUGGUAGUCUAGAGAUCGAGAGAGGUGAGUGGAAUUCCGAGUGUAGAGGUGAAAUUCGUAGAUAUUCGGAGGAACACCAGUGGCGAAGGCGGCUCACUGGCUCGAUACUGACGCUGAGGUGCGAAAGUGUGGGGAGCAAACAGGAUUAGAUACCCUGGUAGUCCACACCGUAAACGAUGGAUGCUAGCCGUUGGGCAGUUUACUGUUCAGUGGCGCAGCUAACGCAUUAAGCAUCCCGCCUGGGGAGUACGGUCGCAAGAUUAAAACUCAAAGGAAUUGACGGGGGCCC